GAUGAACGCUGGCGGCGCGCCUAAUACAUGCAAGUCGAGCGAACGGACGAGAAGCUUGCUUCUCUGAUGUUAGCGGCGGACGGGUGAGUAACACGUGGAUAACCUACCUAUAAGACUGGGAUAACUUCGGGAAACCGGAGCUAAUACCGGAUAAUAUUUUGAACCGCAUGGUUCAAAAGUGAAAGACGGUCUUGCUGUCACUUAUAGAUGGAUCCGCGCUGCAUUAGCUAGUUGGUAAGGUAACGGCUUACCAAGGCAACGAUGCAUAGCCGACCUGAGAGGGUGAUCGGCCACACUGGAACUGAGACACGGUCCAGACUCCUACGGGAGGCAGCAGUAGGGAAUCUUCCGCAAUGGGCGAAAGCCUGACGGAGCAACGCCGCGUGAGUGAUGAAGGUCUUCGGAUCGUAAAACUCUGUUAUUAGGGAAGAACAUAUGUGUAAGUAACUGCGCACAUCUUGACGGUACCUAAUCAGAAAGCCACGGCUAACUACGUG
RNAcentral lists this ribosomal RNA (497 nucleotides) under uncultured bacterium. RNAcentral's name for it is "partial 16S ribosomal RNA". It matches the Rfam family "Bacterial small subunit ribosomal RNA", at positions 28 to 507 of the family's 1533-position model. The record is from RNAcentral.